Molecule: unclassified non-coding RNA, 196 nt
Filed under: uncultured fungus
Lineage: Eukaryota; Fungi
Description: sequence contains ITS1
Source: RNAcentral
ACAAAUCCACAUCUGUGUGUCCCUGUGGGGCGCACUGAGUCCGGCGGGAGGGCGGGCAGCUGCCCUCUUGCCGCAUAGUGUAGUGUAGUGUGUGUAGCACAUGGCAGUAGCAUUGUGCUGUACUCUAUUAUACGUCACGUAUGGUAUGUCACAUAUAAGUGUGUAGUUGACUAAUUGCGGGGAACAAUGUGAUAGA